AUUUCUUGGCCUUCUGGCUAAGAUCAAGUGUAAUUUCUGUUGUUACCAGUGUAAAAGUGUUUUCCUUCUCUGUCUUGUGGCAGCUGUGGUGUUUGACAUUAUUAGAUUGCUUAAUGCCUGUUUUUUCCCCCU
Molecule: small RNA, 132 nt
Filed under: Marmota monax (woodchuck)
Lineage: Eukaryota; Metazoa; Chordata; Mammalia; Rodentia; Sciuridae
Source: RNAcentral